This 2138-nucleotide long non-coding RNA is filed under the name Homo sapiens (human). Its description in RNAcentral is "HSALNT0037047". The record is from RNAcentral. Lineage: Eukaryota; Metazoa; Chordata; Mammalia; Primates; Hominidae.
GUGUUUAAGUUACUUAUGUGCAUUACCUCAUUUAAUCCUUAAGAAAUCCUCUGAGGUGUGUGCUAAAUGAGUGUCAUGAUGCACCUUUUACACACAAGAAACCUGAGGCUUUGGGAGAUUCAGAAAUGUGGAUCUGAGAGCCCAAGCCCUGAGUCAGCAGGAAAACCCGCAUUUCUCCUGGUCCUGUAGUCUUGAUCAGCUGUGCUGGUGCAGCCAGCACAGAGUGGAGGCUUUGAAACAUACAUCGUCUCACAAAGGACCAUUGUUUCCAACACAGGGAUCAGAAUAGCGCUGCUCCUGUCUUCUGGGUUGUUGUAAACAGUCUGGGUAGACCAGGGUCUUAUCUCCAUCUCCAGCUUAGGAGGCAGGAGACAAUUUGAUAGAAGCUGCACUUCAAUGACCACAGGCACACACAAAGAGUCUGCACAGGUUCACCCAAAGAUCUAUCUCCAAAAGCUGAGCUUUUCCUAGAACAGCCAUAAUAUCUGGCUUUAUUCCACAUUUGUCUUUACCUUACUGCUUCUCCUAAAGAAAGCCCUAUGACAAAAAUUGGCAAUAAAAUUAUUAACCAUAAUCAUUUUUGUCUUAAACCAACUCAUUUAUGUUUAAUGACCACUAAAGUAGGUGAGUUAAAAAUAACCUCGUAUUCUAUUUCUCCUUCUAGGUGAUUGGCGUCUCUUUCCAUUCAAAAUUAGAGAAAAUACCAAAGCUCAGCAGUGAUCUUCCUUCUAGAGGCUUGUUGGAACUCCAAACACAUACCCCUGACAGAUACAACAGGGAUUAAUGAGCCAUGACCAGAAGUUUGAUUUUUCUGUCGAGUGCUCCCAUCCGUCUUUAAUAAACAGAAGAACAACAUAAACUCCAUUGCCUGCUUUCCACUGCUGAAACUGAGCUGGCUGUUCCUGGUACCAUGUGUGUUGAGCUGAGUUAUGAUUCUAAAUGACUCGACAAACGCUUUUACAAGCCCCUUUGGUCUGCUACUCUGGUGACUGGCUUUGCUCUCCAAGUUCCAUUUCUUUGCCUCUGUUUAACGUGGGCAGCUCAGUGCUUUGCCAGUGGAAACCAUCAAAUGUAAUAUCACAUUUACAACUAAAUGACUUCAAUUUAGUGUCACUGGUACACUAUCUGUGGUGUAAAACUGCCAAAAUACCCACUAUUUUCCCUUUAAGCCAUGCUGUGUGCUUUUUUGCAGAAGGCUGUCUCCUGCGAGGACCAGAAGUUGAGCCAAGGCACAUGGAACUUACAAUAGCAGAUGGGCAGAAGGAGAACUCCUGAAGCCUCCGAAGGAAGGAAAUCAUUACAGGGCCCUACAGAAGUAGGUCAUGUGCUACAGCUGCUCAUAGUUUAAGAGGAAGAAACAUGGGAUCUCAAACCUGGAACACGACUCUUUCAAAAUGCUUGUGAGCAACCCAAGAAAAACAUCCUCCUGAGGCUUAUCUAAUAACCAUGAUCUCUAAUCGUCUCAAUGUGUGCUCAUGUUUCCUUAGGAGUUUGCACCCACUUCUCAGAGCUAACGAGAUGCCGAAACAGAACACAGAAAAAAGUAAUGAAGGAGAUUUAAUAGUUUGUGUUAAAGCUAAUAUGGUCCAUUAGGGGCUGUCAUUUUUAUAAACAGUGAGGAUACGUUACCCUCUUCUUUGGUGUAAAGUCAUUCCGUGCAGGACCUGUAAACAUUCAGUAAUGAUCUGUAGAACAUGCAUGAACGACAAUUAAAGCACCACUUGAAAAGUCUGUUUUCCUCACAUAUUUGUUUUCUUGCUAAAUAAACUUGUAAAGUUCAUACAUGUGUACGCAUAUGCUUACAUUAUAAAAAAAGUGUGCAUUUCAUUAAGAACAUCUACGAACAGAUAUAAGUGUUUUUGGUUCCCAUUAGCUUGAGAAAUAUCAGAAGUGAUUAGUUAAAUGAGGAGCAUAGGUUCUGUUUUUUAGUGCAUACUAUAAUAAUAAAACAACCACUCUUUUAUGGUAGCUUAGCAAGACAAAAUUAUAGUUCACAAUGUCAUGAAAGGCAUGAUUACAACCUUUGAAAGUUACAAGUAAAAAAGCUUCUAUAAAACCUAUCUGUUGCCAAAAAAUUAUGUUCUACAGUGAUUCAGAUAUAUUUCUGAAAUUUAUUUUUUAAUUGUGGCUGAUACCAA